This 58-nucleotide transfer RNA is filed under the name Salmo salar (Atlantic salmon). It matches the Rfam family "tRNA", at positions 8 to 63 of the family's 71-position model. From Rfam's summary of the family: Transfer RNA (tRNA) molecules are approximately 80 nucleotides in length. Their secondary structure includes four short double-helical elements and three loops (D, anti-codon, and T loops). The record is from Rfam by way of RNAcentral. Lineage: Eukaryota; Metazoa; Chordata; Actinopteri; Salmoniformes; Salmonidae.
UAACUCAGUUGGUAGAGCAUGGUGUUUGCAAUGCCAGGGUUGUGGGUUCGAUUCCCAC